GGCCUCCCAAAGUGCUGGGAUUACAGCCAUGAGCCACAGCGCCCGUCCAAACUCCUUGUUCUACUCUUUCCCCCUUCUCACUACUGCAGUUGACUAGUCUUUA
Unclassified non-coding RNA from Cercocebus atys (sooty mangabey), 103 nucleotides. It matches the Rfam family "Y RNA". From Rfam's summary of the family: Y RNAs are components of the Ro ribonucleoprotein particle (Ro RNP), in association with Ro60 and La proteins. The Y RNAs and Ro60 and La proteins are well conserved, but the function of the Ro RNP is not known. The record is from Ensembl. Lineage: Eukaryota; Metazoa; Chordata; Mammalia; Primates; Cercopithecidae.